GUUAUUUGCAAGAGAUAAAGUAGAACUCUUUUUUUUUAUUUUCUUUUCUUUGUUGCUUUUUAAUGAAUGGGAACGAAAACAAAAAUUAUUGAUAAUAUUUAUUUAUCUUUCUCUCUUCGAUCUGUGCAGCGCGUUUCCUGAGAAUGACUCAAUAUAGAGAUCAAUGUUGAGGAGAAGCUUCUACAUAGCAAUGGAACCUCUAUUGCUGCUAGUGUCAACUCUAACGAUAGACGUGAUGAUGGGCGUGACUCUAUGAGUGACGAACUGGAAUCGAGCACGCUUAAAAACUAUGGAUUGCGAAAGAACCAAUGGAAGCUGCCUUGAGCUAUCCUCGUCUGCUACUGGAACAAGAGCCUUGUUCUUUAAUUCUUCUUCUUGGCGCUUGAAGCGACAUCACUCGGCUAAUAAACAAGUAGUCCCUCACACACUUGAACUCAUGCUAUUUUAUCUAAUUUAUUUUAAUUUUAUUUUUCAAAUUUUUUUUUUAAUUUCCAUAUCAUUAUUUUCUACAGUUUCUUUG
Molecule: long non-coding RNA, 520 nt
Filed under: Manihot esculenta (cassava)
Lineage: Eukaryota; Viridiplantae; Streptophyta; Magnoliopsida; Malpighiales; Euphorbiaceae
Description: long non-coding RNA (MESC_LNC006771)
Source: RNAcentral